RNAcentral lists this ribosomal RNA (267 nucleotides) under Triticum aestivum (bread wheat). RNAcentral's name for it is "partial small subunit ribosomal RNA". The record is from RNAcentral. Lineage: Eukaryota; Viridiplantae; Streptophyta; Magnoliopsida; Poales; Poaceae.
AUGGAUGGAGCCAGGGUGUCUCAGGAAGAUUCGUUGAAUGAGAAGCUUAAGUACAUGAAUCUUAGAAAGGAGGAGGAGGAAUACGUGGUAUUAGAGGAAGACCUGGAAGAGCUAGAGAAGGAUGCUGAAUUCAUGGCGUUGGCUAGGGUCCAUACUAAUAAAAAGUUCAGUCAUGGUGCCUUCUAUGGCAAUAUACGAUCGGCUUGGAACCUGGAGCAAGAAGUGGAGUUUAGGGCUAUUAAGGAGAAUCUAUUUUCGAUACAGAUG